AUGCUUCUCCUAAAGACUAAGCCAUGCAUGCCUCCGAAUAAGAACGAAGCAAUUCUCUCUGAAUCUGCGAACGGCUCCGCAAACCAGUUGUAAACAAUGGUGAGUACGCCCGUCUCUCUAACCGGCUUUGUCCCGGCAAAAGGACGGGUGAUAGGGAUACCCCUGGUAAUUCUGAGGCUAAUACGUUUGACCGUACAAACCUGGCCAACCUUCCGGGGCGGCCGGGGACUGUGCGUGUCUCACUUGCGGCAGGUCUUACCAGGAACAGGGCGCACAGUCAAACCGUGGCAAAAAAAGGGUCCGGCCAAAAGCCGGUCCUCACGGGUCUCACACUGUGCUUCUGACCUAUCAGCUCGUUGUCCGCGUAACGGACGGCCACAGGCUACAACGGGUACAGAGGAUUAGGGUUUGAUCCUGGAGAGUGGGCCUGAGAGAUUGCUCACACUUCUAAGGAAGGCAGCAGGCGCGUAACGUUCCCAUUGGGCAAAGCCCGAGGGCGUUAGGGGAAAUAUGAAUGCCUGUCCUAUGAUGGGCAAUUCAAA
Molecule: ribosomal RNA, 542 nt
Rfam family: Eukaryotic small subunit ribosomal RNA